CAAACCUGAGAGAAAAGAAAAGA
This 23-nucleotide non-coding RNA is filed under the name Cricetulus griseus (Chinese hamster). The record is from RNAcentral. Lineage: Eukaryota; Metazoa; Chordata; Mammalia; Rodentia; Cricetidae.